AAUAUGUUGUGAAAGAAAAUGAAAGGCAAAGGAAUUAUUCCAAAUUAAAAGAGACUAAAAGAACACGGCAACCAAAGGCUGCGCUCACACUGAUAAUCCCAUUAGGUCACCCUGAUUGGUCCCUGAGUCUCACCUGCAAGCCACCUGAAGCAAUCAUUUUGAGAGUGAAUACGGGCAGUUCUCACACACUUGAAUGAUGCAUGAUGAGAAAUGAUGGGAGACUGGUUUGCUGUACCUUCUCACUCCACGUGUCCAGUUAUACCUACCACACAAGGAGCAGAAGAGGCUCUUAGGCACCUGACUAGCUUUCAGAGAAGAGGGUACAUCACUGAGGUGGCAGGAGAAACGCUGAAGUCAUUUCAGCCGUGGAAUGGACCAAAGAUGCUGGAUACAAAAUUUGACAGGUGCAACCACUCUCAUCUUUCCAGGCCCCAAAAUAAAGUCGACAGCUGGUUUAAUCAAAAUAUCUUCAUCUUCUCCAAGAAUCUUCAGAAAAUGUUAUGACUCAUUAAAACUAAAUUUUCAGAGGAAAAAUAGUGCCCAUUCUUUUUGCAAAUAAAAUACAUCAUCAAAAAUUCUUAAAUAA
Long non-coding RNA from Camelus dromedarius (Arabian camel), 586 nucleotides. RefSeq lists it as uncharacterized. The record is from RefSeq and is a predicted model, not a curated record. Lineage: Eukaryota; Metazoa; Chordata; Mammalia; Artiodactyla; Camelidae. The transcript is spliced from 3 exons.